AUGGGGAAAGACGCAGGAAUCCACCAGCCCACGGGACACACACGUAGCUGGGCAGAAGACCACGGAUUCGGCCACCUGAAGGAGCCCGGUGGGGAACCCGCACGUGGAGGCACGGGGAAAUCCCAGGUGCACACAGCACGGGGGCCGAGAUCGAGGGUCGCUUACGAAACCAGAGGACGAGCAAAUCCUCCUCAGGCUACAAUGACAUCAGUAAAUAAUAAAAGACUGGAUCCUGACAAAGAAAUGAAGGAGGAGAUAUCAGAUGUAGUGGGCAAAUGCUCUCCGAGGGACACGAUAGCUCUAGCAGCCUGCCAUCACCCUGCAAGAAAAAUAGAGUGAAAGCACAUGAGGUUUAACUCCUCCAAAAUGUGACUUUAGUGCAGAUUUGUGUUUAUAUAUUUUUGCAUCUGGAGUUUCCAAUGUGUGUGACCACAUCCUCCUUAAAUUCAGCAAGCCCUUAAAAGUGAACCACAAAGGAAACACAGCACUGAUUUAUUUAGGGAGAAAGAAAAGCUUUUGUUUUCUGUUAUUUUACGGAAUGCCAUUCUGACACAACCCUGUGCUUCUUCUGGGCCCUGUGCUAUGUGAGCAGCCCCUUGCUGUCCCAGAGGACGCACCGCGGCCUCCUGUCUUUAAGACAUAUCCCAGUCUCCCAUCUUUAAGCUUCAGCAAUAAUAUUUUCCUGACCCGCAAGAAGAGAGAGGAAAAAAUAAUAAAUGUUUGCGUUGUUGUGCUGCAUCUGAACAGCCUGGUACAAGCAGGGAGCCCUUUCUCAUCUGCUCCUUUCUCUUCAAGCUGGUGACGGAGCCCAUCAGGGCAUCUCCUGUGAUCUUCCUCCUCUCGGCCUCCAACAGCACCUGUGAGCAGCCCAUCUGUCAGGGAGAAAACCCUUUUGGCUCCACUCGGUGGUUAUGAAGGAAAGGGACCACACAUGCUCGGAUCGUUUAGGUCCAGGUCCCACAGGAAACCAUCAGGUUUUGAUUCUUAGCUCACGCUAUAGACAGGCACAUCACCGGGACCAAAUACGAGCAUUACCUGGUGGUACAGAGCUGGUGGGAUACCUACUGUUUCCAUGACCCCAUGGCCAUGCUUUCUUUUUUAUUUUUUUCCCCAAAAAUCAGAGUAUAUGCUGCAGUGCCCACGAGUAGUAGGUCCUGCUGGCCAGCACAGCACAGCAGGACAUGUGGGCGCCCUUGCACAGUGGAGAAAUUCGUGGAGGGCUUUGCUCUGAGCACAACCUGAUGUUUCUGAGCUACUGCCUUAGCAAAAGGCUCAGAAAAUAAAUAAAUAAAUAAAUAAAUAAAUAAAUAAAUAAAUAAAUAAACAGCCACAACACAACAAUUUCCACAGCUCCACUUCCCAGAUGCCACCUUCAGCAGUGCCAUACAGGAGCAGUGACCCCAAAAGUGGCCUUUUGCCAGGAGAAGGGGUGAUGGAGAUAAACCCGGCUGCUUUGACAGCCGUGCCGAACAGCAGAUGGUGCAAGAGGAAGCAGAGCCGCCAGCACAGGCUAGCGUUUUUCCUAGAUGAUGAUGAAGCAAAGCCAACGAGCUGCUGGCUCCUGCCUUGCGUGGUGUCCAGUCCAGGCGAACGGAGAGGCCUGGUGGCAGAGGGCCGGGCCAUGGAUGUGAGAAGAUCUCUGAAGGAGGGAGAGCCUGGAAGGCAGGAAGGCGAUGCUCAGGAAGACGUGCUGAACUGACUGCAGGCUGGGUGGGGCAGAAGACCAAAGCAUGAAUCAGCUGCCGAGGAGUGAAAUGAGGCCAGUCUUGGUCAUUGCAAGUUGGCUGCCACUGACUCGCCUCGCUGGCAGCCAGUUCAAUGGAAGCCGGACAGGAUAUGCCUGGGAAAAAGCCAGCAGAAGUUGAUUAAAUCACCGAGCUGCUGCUGCCCAAAAACCUUCCUACGCCCCUUUUCUGCAGUGGCUUGCUCAGGAGUUCACUAAGUGCCCUUGGGCAUCUUGCAGGCGUCCUCUGAUUCCUCCUGGCCAGCCGUGAGGCAGCAAUGGCCACACACUCAGCUAACAUAAAGGAAUUACGCAUUGUGUCCAUCACUGGGGGUGUUCUGGGACUGCUUCUGCUUUGCCAUGCAGGACCUAAGAGCAUGGAGGAGCAGAGGGAUGAAUCUUAGUGGAAGAGAGCCAAAACCACCAGGGUUUUGCCCUCAUACCCUCAUAUCCUCCAGACAGAUCAUCCAUGACCAGCUGCUCCUCCAAGGUGUAGCCUCAAGAUCCUCACCAGCAGGAGGUGCCCAGGAGGGACAGAUGAACCCAAGCGAGCCAGGCAGCUCUGCCUGGCAAACAUCAAGGAACGAGAGCUCCCUGCAAGCCCUGUCCUAUUGCUCCACAGGGGCCUAGGCCUCACAGUCAGACUGACCUGCUCCGCCUCGUACCUCUGUGUAAAUGAGUUGAGUUGCUUAACUGUCCCAGCGUGUGGGAUGCUCUUCCAGGGAGUUUCGUAGGGCAGAGCACAGGCAAGGGCAGCUCCGUCGUGAAUCCGAGCAGAGAGCUCAGUUGUGGCUGCCGGUUACGAAAAGUAGGGGAAAAAUAAACUGGGAAAGGUUGAGUGGGCAUCCAGCAGAACAGGACAAACCCAAUGCAGCUGUCAGGGGAUGAUAACUGUGUGGGUAUUUGGUACAGAGAGCAGAGUCGUAGCUGGGAGCCUGGGGAAGUGAGCCUGGGCUGGCUGCGAGGUAGCGCGGCAGGGAAGUAAUGGAGCAGCAUGGAGAGCUUGUGGCGGAAAAUCCUUCUAAAAACAGUGAUCCAACGGAGUCACGUCACAUCAGGCUAAAGAGCUGGAUCUCGUGGCCCUAGUCAUCAGAUCUGACCCUAAAACUGAAACUACCACACUGCCUGAUGCUGACGGACUUGGCUGCUUGGAAAAUCCCAUUCUGCCUGAGACAUGAAUAAAAAUCCGUCCAUGAAGUCAAGCAGUACGCAUUUCAGGACAUUCCAUUUGCAAUUGGGAAAAUAGUGCUGAUUAGAUAAGCUAAUGGCAAGGCCAGAUAACUUGUUUGGGAGAUGGAGUCCCUGUGUAGGCCAGGAGAACUGAGACAGGCUCUGGCUUUCCAGGGGUGCUGCUGGCUGCCAAGUGAUGCGAGGUUGCUGAGCCGUGUCCGUCUGUUUCCCCCAAGCUGAAGGAGAGUGACAAAAGCAAAUGAGUUCCCUGCAGCUGAAGCGAGCCAGGUAUAAAUAUAUAUUAUCAUUGCUAAUGGUGAUUUCUGCUCCUCAAAGCAUGCCGGGCACCUGAAGAUGUGAUGACAGCCAAGCUCCUUUCUUCGUGGCAUUUACAGUUCAGAUGUUUUCUGGGUCAGAUGGUUGCAGAUGGACCUGCAAUCCCUUCUCCAGCCCUUGGUGCUGGCUCAGUGUGUAGGGCUGGUGCUGAAAGCUGCCUUAAGCCUCCCUUUCCUCCCCUCCAAACCCCUCCAAAAAUGAAACCCAAUCUCUGACCAUCCCCUGACUCCUUCCUCCACCCCAAGCGAUAGAACAGGAAAUCUUACCAAAGCCCAACUUUAUGAAAGGGAAGGCAGACAAAGAGAGGGGAAGAAAGAAAAGAUUGCAUCCCAAACCACUACACCAGCCUCAUUACCCCACAAACUGAUAGCCUCCCUCUCACUUCUGUGAGCCAGCACCCAGCCCCUCGCUCUCAGCACACCACCUUCAGCUUUGGUGGGAUCUUCUCCAUAGGACCACAAGCACAGAGAGGACCCAAAACCCAGGAUUUGCCACAAAAGGGAGAACUUCCCAAUGAGAUUCUUGGGACUCUGAAGGAGUCAGGGAAGGCACGUGGAGGUGACAUGGCAAACGGGGGCAGCAGACGACAGAGGGACCAGGAUAAGAGAUGAGAUGAGGACCUGAAAUUCUCCCCUACCAUCACUGCAGAGGCUCAGAAAGGAGCCCGAGGGGCUCAGCAGUGGCAGAGGGACCACCAGGGCUAUCUGGGGGCUCACCUGCCCCUCAGGAGGACCAGCCAGGAGCGGGGGUGCUGAGCAGGAUGGGGCUGGUCCACGCUCCUCGGCUGCGGCCAGCUCCUCGCAGUUCAUCUCUCCAGAUUUCCUAGUAUUUGUUCUCUCGUUCUGGGAAGAGGAGAGAGCUGCAAGAGGCCCAUCUCACAGGGACGAUCGGAGAAAGGAAAGGCCAUUGUGCGAAAGAAUUUGGUAUUUCAGGGUUUGUUUUCCUUCUG
RNAcentral lists this long non-coding RNA (4178 nucleotides) under Cairina moschata (Muscovy duck). RNAcentral describes it as "domestica (muscovy Duck (domestic type)) lncRNA (ENSCMMG00000000366.1)". Lineage: Eukaryota; Metazoa; Chordata; Aves; Anseriformes; Anatidae. The record is from RNAcentral.